RNAcentral lists this unclassified non-coding RNA (225 nucleotides) under Hevea brasiliensis (rubber tree). Lineage: Eukaryota; Viridiplantae; Streptophyta; Magnoliopsida; Malpighiales; Euphorbiaceae. The record is from RNAcentral.
GCCCAUUUGAAGCAAUUCAGAUCAUCAACCUGCCAAAGGAUUUGGAUAAAGACACAACCCACCGUUAUGGGCCCAACACAUUUAAAUUGCACAGGUUACCAGUCCCUAGGCCUGGGCAAGUUCUCGGCUUGGUUGGAACAAAUGGCAUUGGGAAGUCCAAAAAGUUUUGGCUGGCAAACUGAAACCAAAUUUGGGUCGUUUCAAUAAUCCUCCAGAUUGGCAGGA